RNAcentral lists this ribosomal RNA (226 nucleotides) under Candidatus Woesearchaeota archaeon. RNAcentral's name for it is "partial 16S ribosomal RNA". It matches the Rfam family "Bacterial small subunit ribosomal RNA", at positions 1212 to 1533 of the family's 1533-position model. The record is from RNAcentral. Lineage: Archaea; Nanobdellati; Candidatus Woesearchaeota.
GGCUACACGCGCGCAACAAUGGUACGGACAAUGGGAUGCAACUCCGAAAGGAGAAGCGAAUCCUCGAAACCCUAUCUCAGUUCAGAUCGAGGCUUGCAACUCAGCCUCGUGACGUCGGAAUCCCUAGUAAUCAGCUGUCAUCAUCUGCUGGUGAAUAUGUCCCUGCGCCUUGCACACACCGAAACAAUGUGCCAGGCAGCUUACAAGACUAGGCGGUGCAAAUCCG